Molecule: ribosomal RNA, 694 nt
Filed under: Staphylococcus cohnii
Lineage: Bacteria; Bacillati; Bacillota; Bacilli; Caryophanales; Staphylococcaceae
Description: partial 23S ribosomal RNA
Rfam family: Bacterial large subunit ribosomal RNA
Source: RNAcentral
GACGGAACACGAGAAAUUCCGUCGGAAUCCGGGAGGACCAUCUCCCAAGGCUAAAUACUCUCUAGUGACCGAUAGUGAACCAGUACCGUGAGGGAAAGGUGAAAAGUACCCCGGAAGGGGAGUGAAAGAGAACUUGAAACCGUGUGCUUACAAGUAGUCAGAGCCCGUUAAUGGGUGAUGGCGUGCCUUUUGUAGAAUGAACCGGCGAGUUACGAUUUGAUGCAAGGUUAAGCAGUGAAUGUGGAGCCGUAGCGAAAGCGAGUCUGAAUAGGGCGUUGAGUAUUUGGUCGUAGACCCGAAACCAGGUGAUCUACCCUUGACCAGGUUGAAGUUCAGGUAACACUGAAUGGAGGACCGAACCGACUUACGUUGAAAAGUGAGCGGAUGAGUUGAGGGUAGCGGAGAAAUUCCAAUCGAACCUGGAGAUAGCUGGUUCUCUCCGAAAUAGCUUUAGGGCUAGCCUCAAGUGAUGAUUAUUGGAGGUAGAGCACUGUUUGGACGAGGGGCCCUUAUCGGGUUACCGAAUUCAGACAAACUCCGAAUGCCAAUCAAUUUAACUUGGGAGUCAGAACGCGGGUGAUAAGGUCCGUGUUCGAAAGGGAAACAGCCCAGACCACCAGCUAAGGUCCCAAAAUAUAUGUUAAGUGGAAAAGGAUGUGGCGUUGCCCAGACAACUAGUAUGUUGGCUUAGAAG